This 184-nucleotide unclassified non-coding RNA is filed under the name uncultured Basidiomycota. RNAcentral's name for it is "sequence contains ITS2". The record is from RNAcentral. Lineage: Eukaryota; Fungi; Basidiomycota.
AAUACAAUACAUGCAUACAGUUGUUGUGCUACAUGUGAAUGUUUCUCAUUCUAAAUGCAUUUCUGACAUGAAUAGUUGGUAAAGCAAUACUGUUAUUGUGUAUAUAAAUGUUCAUGUGUCUCUCUAUGUAUGGACAGGUAGUGUAAGAGUUGUAUACUACUACACUGCAUUACUAUCCACUUUG